RNAcentral lists this ribosomal RNA (631 nucleotides) under uncultured bacterium. Its description in RNAcentral is "bacterial SSU rRNA". It matches the Rfam family "Bacterial small subunit ribosomal RNA", at positions 202 to 834 of the family's 1533-position model. The record is from RNAcentral.
UAAAGAAUUUCGGUUAUCGAUGGGGAUGCGUUCCAUUAGUUAGUUGGCGGGGUAACGGCCCACCAAGACGACGAUGGAUAGGGGUUCUGAGAGGAAGGUCCCCCACAUUGGAACUGAGACACGGUCCAAACUCCUACGGGAGGCAGCAGUGAGGAAUAUUGGUCAAUGGACGAGAGUCUGAACCAGCCAAGUAGCGUGAAGGAUGACUGCCCUAUGGGUUGUAAACUUCUUUUAUAUGGGAAUAAAACAGGGUAUGCAUACCCUCUUGUAUGUACCAUAUGAAUAAGGAUCGGCUAACUCCGUGCCAGCAGCCGCGGUAAUACGGAGGAUCCGAGCGUUAUCCGGAUUUAUUGGGUUUAAAGGGAGCGUAGGUGGAUUGUUAAGUCAGUUGUGAAAGUUUGCGGCUCAACCGUAAAAUUGCAGUUGAAACUGGCAGUCUUGAGUACAGUAGAGGUGGGCGGAAUUCGUGGUGUAGCGGUGAAAUGCUUAGAUAUCACGAAGAACUCCGAUUGCGAAGGCAGCUCACUGGACUGCAACUGACACUGAGGCUCGAAAGUGUGGGUAUCAAACAGGAUUAGAUACCCUGGUAGUCCACACAGUAAACGAUGAAUACUCGCUGUUUGCGAUAUAC